UACGUAGGGAGCAAGCGUUGUCCGGAAUUACUGGGCGUAAAGCGCGUGUAGGCGGCUUUUUAAGUCAGAUGUGAAAACUUAGGGCUCAACCCUGAGAUUGCAUCUGAUACUGGAGAGCUUGAGUGCAGGAGAGGAAAGUGGAAUUCCUAGUGUAGCGGUGAAAUGCGUAGAGAUUAGGAGGAACACCAGUGGCGAAGGCGACUUUCUGGCCUGUAACUGACGCUGAGACGCGAAAGCGUGGGGAGCAAAC
RNAcentral lists this ribosomal RNA (250 nucleotides) under uncultured bacterium. Its description in RNAcentral is "partial 16S ribosomal RNA". It matches the Rfam family "Bacterial small subunit ribosomal RNA", at positions 524 to 773 of the family's 1533-position model. The record is from RNAcentral.